GGCACCAGCCGUAGAGAGCAACCAGAAUGGGCAGAGCAGAGACUUAGAGCCCAGAGGACUGGAAGACGCUGCCACAGCCGCACGCACUCUAGCCUGAUGCUACAGGCAGAACACGUGUGAUGGACUUCUCAGAGAAAGCCGAAAUCAGUAUUCACAGCUUCUAACAGUAAAUUGAACAUGAAAAAACUCCACUAACUACUGAUCAUUGGACCUGAUUGCUUGUGGUUCUGGGAGAGAGAAGAGACAUCUGCACAGGAAUUGGAGCCAGGCCCUGCCGCAUGCAGCCAUCAGCCUCAAUGUGACACUAUGAGCUUUGGCUGGGAAUAAGACACUACAUCUUGGCUUGGGGACACAAACCUGGAGUACUACCAGAGUAAGGCAACCAACCCAAAAGCUACUUGACAGGGAGAGGAGUCUACCAAAAAGAAACAAAACAAACAAAUUCCCUCCCAAACAAGACAUCUUCUGUAACCAGAAGCACUCCAAGAACAACACU
Molecule: long non-coding RNA, 496 nt
Filed under: Homo sapiens (human)
Lineage: Eukaryota; Metazoa; Chordata; Mammalia; Primates; Hominidae
Description: HSALNT0380745
Source: RNAcentral